This 232-nucleotide long non-coding RNA is filed under the name Oryza brachyantha (malo sina). RNAcentral's name for it is "long non-coding RNA (OBRA_LNC000853)". Lineage: Eukaryota; Viridiplantae; Streptophyta; Magnoliopsida; Poales; Poaceae. The record is from RNAcentral.
CCAUGUUUAUUUAUGCGUAAGAUUUGCUGAUCCCAGUGGUAAUCAUAUUUCUUGAAACCUUUCUUUUCCAGAAUUCAACCAACAUAUUUUGUACUAAGACAUCAAGUUGUUCUAGGUUUCUUUAAGAGUGUUGAGUUCUCAUUUAAUGUGACUGAAGAUACCAGUUUUUUGUUGCUGUGGAAAUGGAUUGAUGAUAUUUUAGUAUACCUGAUUUCUAUCUGUUUGUUACUUU